CAAUAGCGUAUAUUAAAGUUGUUGCAGUUAAAAAGCUCGUAGUUGGAUUUCUGAAUUGAAUAUCCGGUCCGCUCGUCUCUGAUGAGUGCGUACUUAUGGAUAUUGGAUUCAUUUUUUGUGAGGACAUUUAUCUGUCAUUAAGUUGAUGGAUUUAUAGACUUGCAUCGUUUACUGUGAAAAAAUUAGAGUGUUUAAAGCAGGCGUUCGCCCAUUUGAAUACAUUAGCAUGGAAUAAUAAGAUAUGACUUUGGUGGUCUAUUUUGUUGGUUUGCACACCAGAGUAAUGAUUAAUAGGGACAGUUGGGGGUAUUCAUAUUUCAACGUCAGGGGUGAAAUUCUUAGAUCGUUGAAAGAUGACCUUAGGCGAAAGCAUUUACCAUGGAUGUUUUCAUUAA
Molecule: ribosomal RNA, 395 nt
Filed under: uncultured eukaryote
Lineage: Eukaryota
Description: partial 18S ribosomal RNA
Rfam family: Eukaryotic small subunit ribosomal RNA
Source: RNAcentral